GUUUGAUCAUGGCUCAGAACGAACGCUGGCGGCGUGCUUAACACAUGCAAGUCGUACGAGAAAUCCCGGGCAACUGGGAGAGUAAAGUGGCGCACGGGUGAGUAACGCGUGGGUAACCUGCCCUUGAGUUGGGGAUAACACCGCGAAAGCGGUGCUAAUACCGAAUAAUAUGUUUGUUCCUUUGGGAAUGGACAUCAAAGGUGGCCUCUGCAUGCAAGCUAUCACUUAAGGAUGGGCCCGCGUACCAUUAGCUUGUUGGUAGGGUAAUGGCCUACCAAGGCAACGAUGGUUAGCUGGUCUGAGAGGAUGGCCAGCCACACUGGAACUGAGACACGGUCCAGACUCCUACGGGAGGCAGCAGUGGGGAAUCUUGCGCAAUGGGGGAAACCCUGACGCAGCAACGCCGCGUGGGUGAUGAAGGCCUUCGGGUCGUAAAGCCCUGUCAAGUGGGAAGAAACAUGUCAUGGCUAAUAUCCAUGGCACUUGACGGUACCACUGGAGGAAGCACCGGCUAACUCCGUGCCAGCAGCCGCGGUAAUACGGAGGGUGCAAGCGUUGUUCGGAAUUAUUGGGCGUAAAGAGCGUGUAGGCGGUCGGGUAAGUCAGAUGUGAAAGCCUUCUGCUUAACAGAAGAAGUGCAUUUGAGACUGUUCGGCUGGAGUACGGGAGAGGAGAGUGGAAUUCCCGGUGUAGAGGUGAAAUUCGUAGAUAUCGGGAGGAACACCGGUGGCGAAGGCGGCUCUCUGGCCCGAUACUGACGCUGAGACGCGAAAGCGUGGGGAGCAAACAGGAUUAGAUACCCUGGUAGUCCACGCCGUAAACGAUGGGCACUAGGUGUAGGAGGUAUUGACCCCUUCUGUGCCGAAGUUAACGCAUUAAG
This 880-nucleotide ribosomal RNA is filed under the name uncultured bacterium. RNAcentral's name for it is "bacterial SSU rRNA". It matches the Rfam family "Bacterial small subunit ribosomal RNA", at positions 11 to 864 of the family's 1533-position model. The record is from RNAcentral.